Molecule: ribosomal RNA, 523 nt
Filed under: Klebsiella pneumoniae
Lineage: Bacteria; Pseudomonadati; Pseudomonadota; Gammaproteobacteria; Enterobacterales; Enterobacteriaceae
Description: bacterial SSU rRNA
Rfam family: Bacterial small subunit ribosomal RNA
Source: RNAcentral
UAGCACAGAGAGCUUGCUCUCGGGUGACGAGCGGCGGACGGGUGAGUAAUGUCUGGGAAACUGCCUGAUGGAGGGGGAUAACUACUGGAAACGGUAGCUAAUACCGCAUAACGUCGCAAGACCAAAGUGGGGGACCUUCGGGCCUCAUGCCAUCAGAUGUGCCCAGAUGGGAUUAGCUAGUAGGUGGGGUAACGGCUCACCUAGGCGACGAUCCCUAGCUGGUCUGAGAGGAUGACCAGCCACACUGGAACUGAGACACGGUCCAGACUCCUACGGGAGGCAGCAGUGGGGAAUAUUGCACAAUGGGCGCAAGCCUGAUGCAGCCAUGCCGCGUGUGUGAAGAAGGCCUUCGGGUUGUAAAGCACUUUCAGCGGGGAGGAAGGCGAUAAGGUUAAUAACCUUGUCGAUUGACGUUACCCGCAGAAGAAGCACCGGCUAACUCCGUGCCAGCAGCCGCGGUAAUACGGAGGGUGCAAGCGUUAAUCGGAAUUACUGGGCGUAAAGCGCACGCAGGCGGUCUGUC